Molecule: ribosomal RNA, 423 nt
Filed under: uncultured bacterium
Lineage: Bacteria
Description: bacterial SSU rRNA
Rfam family: Bacterial small subunit ribosomal RNA
Source: RNAcentral
GAAUCUUCCACAAUGGGCGCAAGCCUGAUGGAGCAACGCCGCGUGAGUGAGGAAGGCUUUCGGGUCGUAAAGCUCUGUUGCCAGGGAAGAAUAAGGAUGAGAGUCACUGCUCAUUCGAUGACGGUACCUGAGAAGACAGCCCCGGCUAACUACGUGCCAGCAGCCGCGGUAAUACGUAGGGGGCAAGCGUUGUCCGGAAUUAUUGGGCGUAAAGCGCGCGCAGGCGGUUGUUUAAGUCUGGUGUCUAAGUGCGGGGCUCAACCCCGUGAUGCAUCGGAAACUGGGCAACUUGAGUGCAGAAGAGGAGAGCGGAAUUCCACGUGUAGCGGUGAAAUGCGUAGAGAUGUGGAGGAACACCAGUGGCGAAGGCGGCUCUCUGGACUGUAACUGACGCUGAGGCGCGAAAGCGUGGGGAGCAAACAG